GACGAACGCUGGUGGCGUGCUUAACACAUGCAAGUCGAACGGGAUUUAGUAAACAGAAGCCUCGGUGGAAGAUUACUAAUGAGAGUGGCGAACGGGUGAGUAACGCGUGAGCAACCUGCCUAUGACAGUGGGAUAGCCUCGGGAAACCGGGAUUAAUACCGCAUAAAAUCGUAGAAACACAUGUUUUAACGGUCAAAGAUUUAUCGGUCAUAGAUGGGCUCGCGUCUGAUUAGCUAGUUGGUGAGAUAACAGCCCACCAAGGCGACGAUCAGUAGCCGGUCUGAGAGGAUGAACGGCCACAUUGGAACUGAGGCACGGUCCAAACUCCUACGGGAGGCAGCAGUGGGGAAUAUUGCACAAUGGGGGAAACCCUGAUGCAGCGACGCCGCGUGAACGAAGAAGGUAUUCGUAUCGUAAAGUUCUGUCCUAUGGGAAGAUAAUGACAGUACCAUAGAAGAAAGCUCCGGCUAAAUACGUG
RNAcentral lists this ribosomal RNA (478 nucleotides) under uncultured bacterium. RNAcentral's name for it is "partial 16S ribosomal RNA". It matches the Rfam family "Bacterial small subunit ribosomal RNA", at positions 28 to 507 of the family's 1533-position model. The record is from RNAcentral.